This 465-nucleotide ribosomal RNA is filed under the name Vreelandella stevensii. RNAcentral's name for it is "partial 16S ribosomal RNA". It matches the Rfam family "Bacterial small subunit ribosomal RNA", at positions 338 to 795 of the family's 1533-position model. The record is from RNAcentral. Lineage: Bacteria; Pseudomonadati; Pseudomonadota; Gammaproteobacteria; Oceanospirillales; Halomonadaceae.
CCUACGGGGGGCAGCAGUGGGGAAUAUUGGACAAUGGGGGGAACCCUGAUCCAGCCAUGCCGCGUGUGUGAAGAAGGCCCUCGGGUUGUAAAGCACUUUCAGUGAGGAAGAACGCCUGGUGGUUAAUACCCAUCAGGAAAGACAUCACUCACAGAAGAAGCACCGGCUAACUCCGUGCCAGCAGCCGCGGUAAUACGGAGGGUGCGAGCGUUAAUCGGAAUUACUGGGCGUAAAGCGCGCGUAGGUGGCUUGAUAAGCCGGUUGUGAAAGCCCCGGGCUCAACCUGGGAACGGCAUCCGGAACUGUCAAGCUAGAGUGCAGGAGAGGAAGGUAGAAUUCCCGGUGUAGCGGUGAAAUGCGUAGAGAUCGGGAGGAAUACCAGUGGCGAAGGCGGCCUUCUGGACUGAAACUGACACUGAGGUGCGAAAGCGUGGGUAGCAAACAGGAUUAGAUACCCGAGUAGUC